UCAUGGCUCAGAUUGAACGCUGGCGGCAGGCCUAACACAUGCAAGUCGAGCGGAAACGAGUUAUCUGAACCUUCGGGGAACGAUAACGGCGUCGAGCGGCGGACGGGUGAGUAAUGCCUAGGAAAUUGCCCUGAUGUGGGGGAUAACCAUUGGAAACGAUGGCUAAUACCGCAUAAUGCCUACGGGCCAAAGAGGGGGACCUUCGGGCCUCUCGCGUCAGGAUAUGCCUAGGUGGGAUUAGCUAGUUGGUGAGGUAAUGGCUCACCAAGGCGACGAUCCCUAGCUGGUCUGAGAGGAUGAUCAGCCACACUGGAACUGAGACACGGUCCAGACUCCUACGGGAGGCAGCAGUGGGGAAUAUUGCACAAUGGGCGCAAGCCUGAUGCAGCCAUGCCGCGUGUGUGAAGAAGGCCUUCGGGUUGUAAAGCACUUUCAGUCGUGAGGAAGGUAGUGUAGUUAAUAGCUGCAUUAUUUGACGUUAGCGACAGAAGAAGCACCGGCUAACUCCGUGCCAGCAGCCGCGGUAAUACGGAGGGUGCGAGCGUUAAUCGGAAUUACUGGGCGUAAAGCGCAUGCAGGUGGUUUGUUAAGUCAGAUGUGAAAGCCCGGGGCUCAACCUCGGAAUAGCAUUUGAAACUGGCAGACUAGAGUACUGUAGAGGGGGGUAGAAUUUCAGGUGUAGCGGUGAAAUGCGUAGAGAUCUGAAGGAAUACCGGUGGCGAAGGCGGCCCCCUGGACAGAUACUGACACUCAGAUGCGAAAGCGUGGGGAGCAAACAGGAUUAGAUACCCUGGUAGUCCACGCCGUAAACGAUGUCUACUUGGAGGUUGUGGCCUUGAGCCGUGGCUUUCGGAGCUAACGCGUUAAGUAGACCGCCUGGGGAGUACGGUCGCAAGAUUAAAACUCAAAUGAAUUGACGGGGGCCCGCACAAGCGGUGGAGCAUGUGGUUUAAUUCGAUGCAACGCGAAGAACCUUACCUACUCUUGACAUCCAGAGAACUUUCCAGAGAUGGAUUGGUGCCUUCGGGAACUCUGAGACAGGUGCUGCAUGGCUGUCGUCAGCUCGUGUUGUGAAAUGUUGGGUUAAGUCCCGCAACGAGCGCAACCCUUAUCCUUGUUUGCCAGCGAGUAAUGUCGGGAACUCCAGGGAGACUGCCGGUGAUAAACCGGAGGAAGGUGGGGACGACGUCAAGUCAUCAUGGCCCUUACGAGUAGGGCUACACACGUGCUACAAUGGCGCAUACAGAGGGCAGCAAGCUAGCGAUAGUGAGCGAAUCCCAAAAAGUGCGUCGUAGUCCGGAUUGGAGUCUGCAACUCGACUCCAUGAAGUCGGAAUCGCUAGUAAUCGUGGAUCAGAAUGCCACGGUGAAUACGUUCCCGGGCCUUGUACACACCGCCCGUCACACCAUGGGAGUGGGCUGCAAAAGAAAGUAGGUAAGUUUAA
RNAcentral lists this ribosomal RNA (1444 nucleotides) under Vibrio sp. VibC-Oc-009. Its description in RNAcentral is "bacterial SSU rRNA". It matches the Rfam family "Bacterial small subunit ribosomal RNA". The record is from RNAcentral. Lineage: Bacteria; Pseudomonadati; Pseudomonadota; Gammaproteobacteria; Vibrionales; Vibrionaceae.